Molecule: long non-coding RNA, 836 nt
Filed under: Sus scrofa (pig)
Lineage: Eukaryota; Metazoa; Chordata; Mammalia; Artiodactyla; Suidae
Description: lncRNA (ENSSSCG00070024556.1)
Source: RNAcentral
CCGGGGCAAACGCGAAGCUGCUGCAAGCCUGAGAUGGCGGAGGGCAAUCACGGAACUGACCACAAAACCCCCCGGCGCAGCGCUCGGAGUGCAAAUUUUCUGCUCCUGGAGAUCGUCUGGGCAGGUCACCUCUUGCCAGAGGCCUUUAGUCGCUUGGCUUCAGGUUAACUCUUGCGCUGUGCGUCCAGAGGUAGAAAAGGCUGCAGUGCCGUCAUAGGACACUUGGUGGCGCCCAAUUGAGGGUCUGAGGACGCAAAAGGACUGGGAGGAUUGCCCCUCUAUCUGAUCUCUCUGAUCUCUCGUCAUCCCCAAAGAAUGACAAGGGACGUCGAGAUCAGGGUGUUCCAGACACUCGGGGCAGCAUGGAAGGAACUCAAGGUGAAGCUGGGAAAAGGAAACACAAAUAUGCAAAGGAGACUUUCAUUACAUCAACAGAAUGGUGUUGGAUGCUUGAGAUCCCAAGGGCUGCCAGAGCUCCCAGUACCAGAAAGCAAAACUCUUUUCCUCUUUUCCAAGGGUUGAAAAGGCAGUGUACAAAGUAGAAGGAGACAAUCAGGUGGAUGAAGCAGCACUUAAUCGCCACACGGAGACUCAGAAACUCAGGGGACUGAUUCUGGAAAAGGGACGAGAAGAAAAGGGAGUACUCAGAUGGUCAGUGACCAUCAGACACCCAUCUCACUUCCAAUGCCACCCGUAAUCUAGUAUCGUCAUUUUCUUUACUAGAAUUUCUAUCUGAAGGCUUUAUUCCAUUUUCCCUUAAGUUGAUUUCUCUGUUUCCCGGGGGACCGGGGUAGGGGGUGGGGUGGCAAGGAAGGUAGGUGUCACUACUGUAGAAC